Nomia melanderi (Alkali bee) is the source of this 1582-nucleotide non-coding RNA. NCBI's taxonomy places the organism in Eukaryota, Metazoa, Arthropoda, Insecta, Hymenoptera, Halictidae. The record is from RefSeq and is a predicted model, not a curated record.
GAAAGAAUUUGGUUUUUCCUCUUAAUUUGUCUCGUGUAAACACACGUCUUACAGGUACAAGUUUGGAUACACUUAAGGUCAUAAUCGUUCGUACAACGGCUGAGGAUACAUCUUGAAAUUUUUGUACCAGAGAAGCAUUUGUAUCAUAUAGGUCAUAUACUUAGUUUUAAAUUUUGAUAAUAUUACAACAUGUCGUAUGUGUUCAUUAUUAACGUCAUUCGAAGUUAUAUCCCAUAUUAUGUAAUUACAUUUAUAGAAAUUCAUGAAAAAUGGACAACACAAGUGUGCAAACAGUGUUGGUGAACGAGUAGAAAUUUUGCGUGACAUAAGCGAAAACUAUAAUCUUCUGUGGAUAAGAAAUAAGGGAAAUCGUAUGCGUAUGGUGCCAAGUACCUACUACGAAGAUGCCUCUUGUUUCAUAGUGUCCAACGAAAAACUAUCCUUCUGACUAGUAACUACUCAAAAAACUGAGCUGUAUUCUACUGGCUCAAACGGUCAUGAUAUUUAUUACAUUCGCCAUUACGAGUUGAGAAUUAUAUAAACUCACCGGUUAAUUUGAUAAAUAUUCAAGAAUUCAUCACAUUUACCAAAAUUAGUGGUGAUUAUAUAUAAUAACCGACAAUUAUACAUAAUCACCGAAUUAAUCACAUUUACUGUAACAUAUAUACUACUCGACACUUCAAUACGUAGCAAGGAUAUUUUUCAGAAUUAUUACUGAAUCCAUCAAGUAUUUUACGCAAUUUUAAAAGUAUGCCCUUAGAUGUUUGAUUAUUUCUUGCAACGAUGAAAAUACUUGACAAAAACAAAGUAACUGCACUUGUAAAAUUAAAAUAAAUUGAUGAUGACAAGUUUUUCUAAUCGAUUGUUAAGAAAAUUAAUUUUCUGAUCAUUCAUAUUACAGAAUUUGGGUGGUAAACGAUUUUCUCGAUUUUCACAAAGCCACAUAUGUUAUGGAAUUAUAUGUGAGAAAAAUAUCAUUCUCUUUUAUAUAGUUUUUAAAAUCAAUUGCGAAAAAAUGUCGGUACCGCUACGUUAAUUCUGGCUUAUAGACAUGCCUAAACAUGACCUCCGGUAAAGGAAUCGCUGUUGCCGACUGUCAGGUAGAGAUGAUACAACAGCGACAUCAGCUUAGUAUCUAUGGGGUGUACAGUUUAUGCAUAAGUAGAAAUGAGUUUUACAAAUACUUACAAGCUGGAUACUGGUUCAGUAGGGCUGGCUUUUCUGGAAUAGAGUGCAGUGAGAUCAGAGCUUGAAAAAACCUUUCGGUCUGAAUCUAUAGUCUCCUGGGCAGCAAAAGCUACAAUAACGGAUUAUUUUUGGGACAUUCUAUAGAUACUGAAGCCGAUAUUACUAUUCAUUCGACGACUCACCGACGAUGAUUAUGUAUAUAGAUCAGUGUUACGGAUCCCUUUGGACACGCGUGGUUUGCACGAUCGCCAGAAUCACCAUACAGUAGCCGAUUUGACCAUUUUAGCUAGCUAAAAUUAAAAACACCUAUUAUAUACUGAAUCUUGAAUCUUAUAUAUAUAUAUAUAUAUAUAUAUAUAUAUAUAUAUAUAUAUAUAAAUAAAAUAUUGUAAAA